This 477-nucleotide ribosomal RNA is filed under the name uncultured bacterium. RNAcentral's name for it is "bacterial SSU rRNA". It matches the Rfam family "Bacterial small subunit ribosomal RNA", at positions 365 to 832 of the family's 1533-position model. The record is from RNAcentral.
UUCGCAAUGCCCGAAAGGGUGACGAAGCGACGCCGCGUGUGGGAAGAAGGCCUUCGGGUUGUAAACCACUGUCGGGAGUUAAGAAAUGCAAGGAUAUUAAUAGUGUCUUUGUUUGACUAAGGCUCCGGAGGAAGCCACGGCUAACUCUGUGCCAGCAGCCGCGGUAAUACAGAGGCGGCAAGCGUUGUUCGGAAUUAUUGGGCGUAAAGAGCACGUAGGCGGCUAUGUAAGUCGGUUGUGAAAGCCUUCCGCUUAACGGAAGAACGGCAUCCGAUACUGCAUAGCUCGAGUGCGGGAGGGGAGAGUGGAACUUCUGGUGGAGCGGUGAAAUGCGUAGAUAUCAGAAGGAACGCCGGCGGCGAAAGCGGCUCUCUGGUCCGCAACUGACGCUGAGUGUGCGAAAGCUAGGGGAGCAAACGGGAUUAGAUACCCCGGUAGUCCUAGCCGUAAACGAUGGGCACUAAGUAGAGGGGUUUU